RNAcentral lists this ribosomal RNA (430 nucleotides) under Chloroflexota bacterium. Its description in RNAcentral is "Chloroflexi bacterium partial 16S ribosomal RNA". It matches the Rfam family "Bacterial small subunit ribosomal RNA", at positions 355 to 777 of the family's 1533-position model. The record is from RNAcentral. Lineage: Bacteria; Bacillati; Chloroflexota.
UGGGGAAUAUUGCACAAUGGGCGCAAGCCUGAUGCAGCCAUGCCGCGUGUGUGAAGAAGGCCUUCGGGUUGUAAAGCACUUUCAGCGGGGAGGAAGGCGAUAAGGUUAAUAACCUUGUCGAUUGACGUUACCCGCAGAAGAAGCACCGGCUAACUCCGUGCCAGCAGCCGCGGUAAUACGGAGGGUGCAAGCGUUAAUCGGAAUUACUGGGCGUAAAGCGCACGCAGGCGGUCUGUCAAGUCGGAUGUGAAAUCCCCGGGCUCAACCUGGGAACUGCAUUCGAAACUGGCAGGCUAGAGUCUUGUAGAGGGGGGUAGAAUUCCAGGUGUAGCGGUGAAAUGCGUAGAGAUCUGGAGGAAUACCGGUGGCGAAGGCGGCCCCCUGGACGAAGACUGACGCUCAGGUGCGAAAGCGUGGGGAGCAAACAGGA